Molecule: long non-coding RNA, 495 nt
Organism: Saccostrea cuccullata (small rock oyster)
Lineage: Eukaryota; Metazoa; Mollusca; Bivalvia; Ostreida; Ostreidae
Exons: 3
Source: RefSeq, a predicted model, not a curated record
AAUUUUUUUUACAGGGAUGUGUUGUCUGACCUUUCUGCCUUGUUCAUUGACGUACAGGACUUGUAUAAAUUGCAACAGUUUGGCAUCAUCCUUUGAGAUGUUGAAAGAUAUUACUUGGGUGCCAUCACAGGAGUGUUCUCUAUGUGGGGGAAAGCUGAUUUAAUGAGAAGAGGAGCGUAGUGUUGAAUCAAAAGAGAAACUCGGAUGAGUUUGGAAAAGAAACAGAUGCAGGUUCACAAUCAGCUAAAAAAAAAAAAAAGAGCCAAAAUGGGGUCUGUUUAUAGUUGAAGUAUCAGUCUAUAAAAGUGUUUACAAGUCAUUAAGGUUCAUUUUUAAUGCUAGCAGCAAUGAAAGGUGUACUUUCUGAUUGAAACUUACUGAAGUUUCCUCAAGCAAACCAAAAGAUAUGUACUAAUCUUGAUUAUAUUCACUAGAUGUGAAUGUAGCAUUUUAAAUUACAAUACAUACUGGAGAUAGUAAGGCUUAACUGUAUAA